Molecule: ribosomal RNA, 576 nt
Filed under: uncultured Pseudomonadota bacterium
Lineage: Bacteria; Pseudomonadati; Pseudomonadota
Description: bacterial SSU rRNA
Rfam family: Bacterial small subunit ribosomal RNA
Source: RNAcentral
AAGUCGAACGGAUAACAGGAAACAGCUUGCUGUUUCGCUGACGAGUGGCGGACGGGUGAGUAAUGUCUGGGAAACUGCCUGAUGGAGGGGGAUAACUACUGGAAACGGUAGCUAAUACCGCAUAACGUCGCAAGACCAAAGAGGGGGACCUUCGGGCCUCUUGCCAUCGGAUGUGCCCAGAUGGGAUUAGCUCGUUGGUGGGGUAACGGCUCACCAAGGCGACGAUCCCUAGCUGGUCUGAGAGGAUGACCAGCCACACUGGAACUGAGACACGGUCCAGACUCCUACGGGAGGCAGCAGUGGGGAAUAUUGCACAAUGGGCGCAAGCCUGAUGCAGCCAUGCCGCGUGUAUGAAGAAGGCCUUCGGGUUGUAAAGUACUUUCAGCGGGGAGGAAGGGAGUAAAGUUAAUACCUUUGCUCAUUGACGUUACCCGCAGAAGAAGCACCGGCUAACUCCGCGCCAGCAGCCGCGGUAAUACGGAGGGUGCAAGCGUUAAUCGGAAUUACUGGGCGUAAAGCGCACGCAGGCGGUUUGUUACGUCAGAUGUGAAAUCCCCGGGCUCAACCUGGGAACUG